UACGUAGGGACCAAGCGUUGUUCGGAUUUACUGGGCGUAAAGGGCGCGUAGGCGGCAAUUCAAGUCAGUUGUGAAAUCUCCGAGCUUAACUCGGAACGGUCAACUGAUACUGUUUUGCUAGAGUGCAGAAAGGGCAACCGGAAUUCUUGGUGUAGCGGUGAAAUGCGUAGAUAUCAAGAGGAACACCUGAGGCGAAGGCGGGUUGCUAGGCUGACACUGACGCUGAGGCGCGAAAGCCAGGGGAGCAAACGGG
This 253-nucleotide ribosomal RNA is filed under the name uncultured bacterium. RNAcentral describes it as "partial 16S ribosomal RNA". It matches the Rfam family "Bacterial small subunit ribosomal RNA", at positions 524 to 776 of the family's 1533-position model. The record is from RNAcentral.